AACAACACUGUAAAGAUGGAUGCUUUUCCAGGCUUAGUGAUGGUGAUGUUCCUGAUACUUGGAAGGACUCAUGGAAACUCAGUGACCCAGACAGAAGGUCAAGUGAUCCUAUUGGAGGGGGCUUUGCUGACUAUAAACUGCACUUAUUCAACCACAGGGUACCCUACUCUGUUCUGGUAUGUGCAAUAUCCUGGAGAAGGUCCACAGCUUCUGUUUAGAGUCUCCAGGUCCAAUGAAAAGGGCAGCAACAAAGGUUUUGAAGCCACAUACAAGAAAAAAACCACUUCCUUCCACUUGGAGAAAGCCUCUGUCCAAGAGUCAGACUCGACUGUGUACUACUGUGCUCUGGGUGCGGGCGGCGGCUCUGCUCUC
Molecule: non-coding RNA, 372 nt
Organism: Marmota monax (woodchuck)
Lineage: Eukaryota; Metazoa; Chordata; Mammalia; Rodentia; Sciuridae
Source: the annotation of a RefSeq genome assembly